This 440-nucleotide ribosomal RNA is filed under the name uncultured bacterium. RNAcentral describes it as "partial 16S ribosomal RNA". It matches the Rfam family "Bacterial small subunit ribosomal RNA", at positions 338 to 795 of the family's 1533-position model. The record is from RNAcentral.
CCUACGGGAGGCAGCAGUGGGGAAUAUUGCACAAUGGGGGCAACCCUGAUGCAGCGACGCCGCGUGGGUGAAGGAGCGUUUCGGCGCGUAAAGCCGUAUCGGCAGGGAAGAAAAUGACGGUACCUGAACAAGAAGCCCCGGCUAACUACGUGCCAGCAGCCGCGGUAAUACGUAGGGGGCAAGCGUUAUCCGGAUUUACUGGGUGUAAAGGGGGCGCAGACGGCAAUGCAAGCCAGGAGUGAAAGCCCGGGGCCCAACCCCGGGACUGCUUUUGGUACUGCAUGGCUGGAGUAUAGGAGGGGCAGGCGGAAUUGAUGGUGUAGCGGUGAAAUGCGUAGAUAUUAGGAGGAGCACCGGUGGCGAAGGCGGCCUGCCGGGCUGUGACUGACGUUGAGGCCCGAAGGCGUGGGGAGCAAACAGGAUUAGAUACCCGGGUAGUC